AUACGGAGGGUCCAAGCGUUAUCCGGAUUCAUUGGGUUUAAAGGGUCUGCAGGCGGGAAAAUAAGUCAGUGGUGAAAGCCUACAGCUCAACUGUAGAACUGCCAUUGAUACUGUUUUUCUUGAGUAUAGAUGAAGUGGGCGGAAUAUAUCAUGUAGCGGUGAAAUGCAUAGAUAUGAUAUAGAACACCGAUUGCGAAGGCAGCUCACUAAACUAUUACUGACGCUCAGGGACGAAAGCGUGGGGAGCGAACAGUAUUAGAAACCCCAGUAGUCC
RNAcentral lists this ribosomal RNA (274 nucleotides) under uncultured bacterium. RNAcentral describes it as "partial 16S ribosomal RNA". It matches the Rfam family "Bacterial small subunit ribosomal RNA", at positions 523 to 796 of the family's 1533-position model. The record is from RNAcentral.